Molecule: long non-coding RNA, 592 nt
Organism: Macaca mulatta (Rhesus monkey)
Lineage: Eukaryota; Metazoa; Chordata; Mammalia; Primates; Cercopithecidae
Source: RefSeq, a predicted model, not a curated record
GAUGACAGAAACUUCAUUGGCUUUGGCAAAGCAGAAAUUUAUUAGCUUACAAGGUUUAAGUAACAGCUUUUCUUUCCCAGCUCUGAUUUAUUUGAGUUCAAGGACUUCAGUAUUCAAUUUGAAGGAGUGGAAAUAAACCAGGAAAGAAUAAGGAGCAAGAAAGCCUCGAUUUCUUAUCCUUUUAAGUGGCUGAUAUCAAAACAUCAAUGUGACCUCACCGGACUCAAAGUUGAGAAGACAUGCUCACCAAUGUAUCACAUUGCAUGGUUAAAGCUAGAGCAAAUCAGCUCCUGAAUAUCAUUACCUGCAGAAGUGAGCAUACUUCUCUAGAACGAUGCCUUCUUUUACCUUGUGGAUAAGAGCAACUUGCAUCCUGGAUCAAAUUUUAGUUACCGUGUUUGUGCUACAAAGCUUAGAGCCAAACUGAAAGCUAAUUUAAAAUAAUGUAUGUAUUAUUUAAAAUAAGGUAUGUUUUCAAGUUUUUGUUGCCUCAUUUCUAGGUCUAUUUGAUCUUAACUCAAUCCUUGUUUUAUUUUUUCAGUUUUGUUUUGUUUUCAGAGACAGGGUCUCACUCUGUAGCCCAGGCUGGAGU